GUGCUUGCACUGAUUUCACAAUGAAGCGAGUGGCGAACUGGUGAGUAACACGUGGGGAAUCUGCCCAGAAGCAGGGGAUAACACUUGGAAACAGGUGCUAAUACCGUAUAACAACAAAAUCCGCAUGGAUUUUGUUUGAAAGGUGGCUUCGGCUAUCACUUCUGGAUGAUCCCGCGGCGUAUUAGUUAGUUGGUGAGGUAAAGGCCCACCAAGACGAUGAUACGUAGCCGACCUGAGAGGGUAAUCGGCCACAUUGGGACUGAGACACGGCCCAAACUCCUACGGGAGGCAGCAGUAGGGAAUCUUCCACAAUGGACGAAAGUCUGAUGGAGCAAUGCCGCGUGAGUGAAGAAGGGUUUCGGCUCGUAAAACUCUGUUGUUAAAGAAGAACACCUUUGAGAGUAACUGUUCAAGGGUUGACGGUAUUUAACCAGAAAGCCACGGCUAACUACGUGCCAGCAGCCGCGGUAAUACGUAGGUGGCAAGCGUUGUCCGGAUUUAUUGGGCGUAAAGCGAGCGCAGGCGGUUUUUUAAGUCUGAUGUGAAAGCCUUCGGCUUAACCGGAGAAGUGCAUCGGAAACUGGGAGACUUGAGUGCAGAAGAGGACAGUGGAACUCCAUGUGUAGCGGUGGAAUGCGUAGAUAUAUGGAAGAACACCAGUGGCGAAGGCGGCUGUCUAGUCUGUAACUGACGCUGAGGCUCGAAAGCAUGGGUAGCGAACAGGAUUAGAUACCCUGGUAGUCCAUGCCGUAAACGAUGAGUGCUAAGUGUUGGAGGGUUUCCGCCCUUCAGUGCUGCAGCUAACGCAUUAAGCACUCCGCCUGGGGAGUACGACCGCAAGGUUGAAACUCAAAGGAAUUGACGGGGGCCCGCACAAGCGGUGGAGCAUGUGGUUUAAUUCGAAGCUACGCGAAGAACCUUACCAGGUCUUGACAUCUUCUGCCAAUCUUAGAGAUAAGACGUUCCCUUCGGGGACAGAAUGACAGGUGGUGCAUGGUUGUCGUCAGCUCGUGUCGUGAGAUGUUGGGUUAAGUCCCGCAACGAGCGCAACCCUUAUUAUCAGUUGCCAGCAUUCAGUUGGGCACUCUGGUGAGACUGCCGGUGACAAACCGGAGGAAGGUGGGGAUGACGUCAAAUCAUCAUGCCCCUUAUGACCUGGGCUACACGUGCUACAAUGGACGGUACAACGAGUUGCGAAGUCGUGAGGCUAAGCUAAUUUAAAGCCGUU
This 1228-nucleotide ribosomal RNA is filed under the name Levilactobacillus brevis. RNAcentral's name for it is "bacterial SSU rRNA". It matches the Rfam family "Bacterial small subunit ribosomal RNA", at positions 64 to 1286 of the family's 1533-position model. Lineage: Bacteria; Bacillati; Bacillota; Bacilli; Lactobacillales; Lactobacillaceae. The record is from RNAcentral.